Oreochromis aureus is the source of this 495-nucleotide long non-coding RNA. RefSeq lists it as uncharacterized. NCBI's taxonomy places the organism in Eukaryota, Metazoa, Chordata, Actinopteri, Cichliformes, Cichlidae. The record is from RefSeq and is a predicted model, not a curated record. The transcript has 3 exons.
GGAGCAAGACACCCCAGAGCAAUUAACAAGCUACACAAGGCCUUUAUGUGUUUUACUCUCGACCAAAACCAGGCAGAGCGUGUGUUUGUUCUUGGGAACUCCGACUGGUUUUUUGUGAUCCUGGAUCUGAAGUGGUUCUGGAUAUGGAUGGCGAGCCAGACCCUGUGAAAACUCUUGGCGAAUCCAAAAGCAGUGUGGCCAGCUGUUCUGGAUGCAGGAGUAGAGCUACAGUCUGACUUACUUUGGAUCACAGGAUUUCAGAUAAGCAAGAGCAAAAACUGCUUACUUCAUACGGAUCGUUCUCUGGAAACUAUUGAACUCACAAUAUCCUGUUCAUCAGGAGUCAGCUCUAAAGAGACUACUUAUUUUAUUUUGUUGUUAUUUUCAAAAGAGCGCUCUUCUCUGUUGAUCUUCUGUUAAUUCUCGAUGCUGUUUACAUUGGAUUAUUGCACCACUGUAACAUUGUAAUAAAUCUGCCGGCUGUUCAACACUCAA